This 1372-nucleotide ribosomal RNA is filed under the name uncultured bacterium. RNAcentral's name for it is "bacterial SSU rRNA". It matches the Rfam family "Bacterial small subunit ribosomal RNA", at positions 28 to 1381 of the family's 1533-position model. The record is from RNAcentral.
GAUGAACGCUGGCGGCGUGCCUAAUACAUGCAAGUCGAGCGAACGGACGAGAAGCUUGCUUCUCUGAUGUUAGCGGCGGACGGGUGAGUAACACGUGGAUAACCUACCUAUAAGACUGGGAUAACUUCGGGAAACCGGAGCUAAUACCGGAUAAUAUUUUGAACCGCAUGGUUCAAAAGUGAAAGACGGCCUUGCUGUCACUUAUAGAUGGAUCCGCGCUGCAUUAGCUAGUUGGUAAGGUAACGGCUUACCAAGGCAACGAUGCAUAGCCGACCUGAGAGGGUGAUCGGCCACACUGGAACUGAGACACGGUCCAGACUCCUACGGGAGGCAGCAGUAGGGAAUCUUCCGCAAUGGGCGAAAGCCUGACGGAGCAACGCCGCGUGAGUGAUGAAGGUCUUCGGAUCGUAAAACUCUGUUAUUAGGGAAGAACAUAUGUGUAAGUAACUGUGCACAUCUUGACGGUACCUAAUCAGAAAGCCACGGCUAACUACGUGCCAGCAGCCGCGGUAAUACGUAGGUGGCAAGCGUUAUCCGGAAUUAUUGGGCGUAAAGCGCGCGUAGGCGGUUUUUUAAGUCUGAUGUGAAAGCCCACGGCUCAACCGUGGAGGGUCAUUGGAAACUGGAAAACUUGAGUGCAGAAGAGGAAAGUGGAAUUCCAUGUGUAGCGGUGAAAUGCGCAGAGAUAUGGAGGAACACCAGUGGCGAAGGCGACUUUCUGGUCUGUAACUGACGCUGAUGUGCGAAAGCGUGGGGAUCAAACAGGAUUAGAUACCCUGGUAGUCCACGCCGUAAACGAUGAGUGCUAAGUGUUAGGGGGUUUCCGCCCCUUAGUGCUGCAGCUAACGCAUUAAGCACUCCGCCUGGGGAGUACGACCGCAAGGUUGAAACUCAAAGGAAUUGACGAGGACCCGCACAAGCGGUGGAGCAUGUGGUUUAAUUCGAAGCAACGCGAAGAACCUUACCAAAUCUUGACAUCCUUUGACAACUCUAGAGAUAGAGCCUUCCCCUUCGGGGGACAAAGUGACAGGUGGUGCAUGGUUGUCGUCAGCUCGUGUCGUGAGAUGUUGGGUUAAGUCCCGCAACGAGCGCAACCCUUAAGCUUAGUUGCCAUCAUUAAGUUGGGCACUCUAAGUUGACUGCCGGUGACAAACCGGAGGAAGGUGGGGAUGACGUCAAAUCAUCAUGCCCCUUAUGAUUUGGGCUACACACGUGCUACAAUGGACAAUACAAAGGGCAGCGAAACCGCGAGGUCAAGCAAAUCCCAUAAAGUUGUUCUCAGUUCGGAUUGUAGUCUGCAACUCGACUACAUGAAGCUGGAAUCGCUAGUAAUCGUAGAUCAGCAUGCUACGGUGAAUACGUUCCCGGGUCU